GUGAUGCCCAGCAUUCGGAAGCAUGUGACGUCAGAAAGCUCUUUUCCACAUGCUUCAAGAACCAUUGGAGAGUCUACAGGUGUUACUCGGCAUAACAGUCUCUCUUCAGUCCCAGUCUCCAAUCUGUGCCUGUACCUCACACCACCCAGGGCCCUGCCACACUACACCCCGACUGCGGAGCUCCCCACACCAUCAGGCGCUGUCUACUCAGGCACCUACUGACUGCUUCCCAUCUGCCUCCACUCUCGCCGCUAUGUGCUCUGCAGCAGGAAGUGCCGGUUUCUUGUCUUUCCGAGGAGUAAACUGCUCUUACUAAUCCCCUCAGUAUGGUCUCUGAAUUAGCAACCAUCUGUUCCAGAUCUCUUCAGAGCAGGAUUGCCGGGCUGGGAAACGGUCUGUUUGUAGUUAAAGUGCCAUAACAAGAAAAAUUUUUGUUGGCUCCCUAAUACUGCGAUAAAUAUGUGCCACCGGGGCCACAGAAAUGUGGUCUUUCUCUUU
This 498-nucleotide long non-coding RNA is filed under the name Lepisosteus oculatus (spotted gar). Its description in RNAcentral is "lncRNA (ENSLOCG00000022499.1)". The record is from RNAcentral. Lineage: Eukaryota; Metazoa; Chordata; Actinopteri; Semionotiformes; Lepisosteidae.